Long non-coding RNA from Gadus macrocephalus (Pacific cod), 482 nucleotides. RefSeq lists it as uncharacterized. The transcript is spliced from 2 exons. Lineage: Eukaryota; Metazoa; Chordata; Actinopteri; Gadiformes; Gadidae. The record is from RefSeq and is a predicted model, not a curated record.
GGCCUGGACUGAUUUGGGUUUAAGGUGUCGGGGUGUUCUUGUGCUUUUGUCGGUUUCGGUAACUUUUACGAUCUUACUUUACUACGCUGCUUUAGAACAUGUUUUUUUAACAGCACUGUAAAAAGUCAGGCUUUUUCUUUUCCAACAAUGUUUUUUCCUCUCGUCAUACAACAGCAGGUCGACAAGAGAAAGGAUCGACAACGAACAACUGCUCUGGAUCCCAGAGAGGAGAACGGUCCCGCGCCCAGCGCCACGGCCAGCGGACCCGGAGGGAGAAGAGAGUUCCAGCCGUGCUGGGCAGUUCUUAAGAAGUGGAACACCUACUUUGCAGUGAGCGGUCGGACCCGGACGGCCACCUUCACGUUGGCCAUGGCGUCCUCCGACCAGGGCGUGUGAUGAUCCCGGCUCUGGUAACUAUCCAUGUGGACGCAUGAUUGUGUUUUUAACUUCACGCCUUUCCAUUAAAACGAGGUCCAAAACGG